Molecule: ribosomal RNA, 492 nt
Filed under: uncultured bacterium
Lineage: Bacteria
Description: partial 16S ribosomal RNA
Rfam family: Bacterial small subunit ribosomal RNA
Source: RNAcentral
AGUGAACGCUGGCGGUAGGCCUAACACAUGCGAGUCGAACGGCAGCACAGUAAGAGCUUGCUCUUACGGGUGGCGAGUGGCGGACGGGUGAGGAAUACAUCGGAAUCUACUUUUUCGUGGGGGAUAACGUAGGGAAACUUACGCUAAUACCGCAUACGACCUACGGGUGAAAGCAGGGGAUCUUCGGACCUUGCGCGAUUGAAUGAGCCGAUGUCGGAUUAGCUAGUUGGCGGGGUAAAGGCCCACCAAGGCGACGAUCCGUAGCUGGUCUGAGAGGAUGAUCAGCCACACUGGAACUGAGACACGGUCCAGACUCCUACGGGAGGCAGCAGUGGGGAAUAUUGGACAAUGGGCGCAAGCCUGAUCCAGCCAUACCGCGUGGGUGAAGAAGGCCUUCGGGUCGUAAAGCCCUUUUGUUGGGAAAGAAAAGCAGCAGGUUAAUACCCCGCUGUUCUGACGGUACCCAAAGAAUAAGCACCGGCUAACUUCGUG